This 73-nucleotide transfer RNA is filed under the name Acidobacteriota bacterium. RNAcentral's name for it is "Acidobacteria bacterium (rhizosphere metagenome) tRNA-Ile". It matches the Rfam family "tRNA". From Rfam's summary of the family: Transfer RNA (tRNA) molecules are approximately 80 nucleotides in length. Lineage: Bacteria; Pseudomonadati; Acidobacteriota. The record is from RNAcentral.
GCGCAGGUAGCUCAGAGGUAGAGCACAGGAAUUGAUAAUCCUGAGGUCAUGGGUUCGAAUCCCGUCCUGCGCA